This 428-nucleotide ribosomal RNA is filed under the name Dothideomycetes sp. RNAcentral's name for it is "SSU rRNA". It matches the Rfam family "Eukaryotic small subunit ribosomal RNA", at positions 1341 to 1791 of the family's 1831-position model. Lineage: Eukaryota; Fungi; Ascomycota; Dothideomycetes. The record is from RNAcentral.
CCUUAACCUGCUAAAUAGCCCGGCUGGCUUUUGCAAGUCGCAGGCUUCUUAGAGGGACUAUCUACUCAAGUGGAUGGAAGUUUGAGGCAAUAACAGGUCUGUGAUGCCCUUAGAUGUCCUGGGCUGCACGCGCGCUACACUGACAGAGCCAACGAGUUCAUCACCUUGGCCGGAAGGUUUGGGUAAUCUUGUUAAACUCUGUCGUGCUGGGGAUAGGGCAUUGCAAUUAUUGCCCUUCAACGAGGAAUGCCUAGUAAGCGUAUGUCAUCAGCAUGCGUUGAUUACGUCCCUGCCCUUUGUACACACCGCCCGUCGCUACUACCGAUUGAACGGCUCAGUGAGGCCUUCGGAUUGGCUCAGACUGUCGGCAACGAUGGUCAGAGCCGAAAAGUUGGUCAAACUUGGUCGUUUAGAGGAAGUAAAAGUCG